GACGAACGCUGGCGGCGUGCUUAACACAUGCAAGUCGAACGGAAAGGCCCUGCUUUUGUGGGGUGCUCGAGUGGCGAACGGGUGAGUAACACGUGAGUAACCUGCCCUUGACUUUGGGAUAACUUCAGGAAACUGGGGCUAAUACCGGAUAGGAGCUCCUGCUGCAUGGUGGGGGUUGGAAAGUUUCGGCGGUUGGGGAUGGACUCGCGGCUUAUCAGCUUGUUGGUGGGGUAGUGGCUUACCAAGGCUUUGACGGGUAGCCGGCCUGAGAGGGUGACCGGCCACAUUGGGACUGAGGUACGGCCCAGACGCCUACGGGAGGCAGCAGUGGGGAAUAUUGCACAAUGGGCGGAAGCCUGAUGCAGCAACGCCGCGUGCGGGAUGACGGCCUUCGGGUUGUAAACCGCUUUCGCCUGUGACGAAGCGUGAGUGACGGUAAUGGGUAAAGAAGCACCGGCUAACUAUGUG
This 468-nucleotide ribosomal RNA is filed under the name uncultured bacterium. RNAcentral's name for it is "partial 16S ribosomal RNA". It matches the Rfam family "Bacterial small subunit ribosomal RNA", at positions 28 to 507 of the family's 1533-position model. The record is from RNAcentral.